CACCAGCGCCUCGAGUGGUACCCACGAAUAUUGGGCCUAAAGCGUCCGUAGCCGGGCCGAUAAGUCCGCUGUGAAAUGUUGGGGCUCAACCCUAACGCGUGCAGUGGAUACUGCCGGUCUUGGGAACGGGGGAGGGUCGGAGUACUUCCAGGGUAGGGGUAAAAUCCGUUGAGCCUGGAAGGACUACCAGUGGCGAAGGCGCCGAUCCAAAACGUGUCCGACGGUGAGGGACGAAAGCUGGGGGAGCGAA
This 250-nucleotide ribosomal RNA is filed under the name uncultured bacterium. RNAcentral's name for it is "partial 16S ribosomal RNA". It matches the Rfam family "Archaeal small subunit ribosomal RNA", at positions 474 to 723 of the family's 1478-position model. The record is from RNAcentral.